This 253-nucleotide ribosomal RNA is filed under the name uncultured bacterium. RNAcentral describes it as "partial 16S ribosomal RNA". It matches the Rfam family "Bacterial small subunit ribosomal RNA", at positions 524 to 776 of the family's 1533-position model. The record is from RNAcentral.
UACGAGGGGGGCGAGCGUUGUUCGGAAUUAUUGGGCGUAAAGGGCGCGUAGGCGGUCGGAUAAGUCUUGUGUGAAAUCUUCGGGCUCAACUCGAAGUCUGCACGAGAAACUGUCCGGCUUGAGUGUGGGAGAGGUGAGUGGAAUUCCUGGUGUAGCGGUGAAAUGCGUAGAUAUCAGGAGGAACACCUGUGGCGAAAGCGGCUCACUGGACCACAACUGACGCUGAGGCGCGAAAGCUAGGGGAGCAAACAGG